GAUGAACGCUAGCUACAGGCUUAACACAUGCAAGUCGAGCGGGGUGAUGGUGCUCGCACUAUCACUUAGCGGCGGACGGGUGAGUAAUGCUUAGGAAUCUGCCUAUUAGUGGGGGACAACAUCUCGAAAGGGAUGCUAAUACCGCAUACGUCCUACGGGAGAAAGCAGGGGAUCACUUGUGACCUUGCGCUAAUAGAUGAGCCUAAGUCGGAUUAGCUAGUUGGUGGGGUAAAGGCCUACAAAGGCGACGAUCUGUAGCGGGUCUGAGAGGAUGAUCCGCCACACUGGGACUGAGACACGGCCCAGACUCCUACGGGAGGCAGCAGUGGGGAAUAUUGGACAAUGGGGGGAAGCCUGAUCCAGCCAUGCCGCGUGUGUGAAGAAGGCCUUAUGGUUGUAAAGCACUUUAAGCGAGGAGGAGGCUCUUUUGGUUAAUACCCAAGAUGAGUGGACGUUACUCGCAGAAUAAGCACCGGCUAACUCUGUGCCAGCCGCCGCGGUAA
This 503-nucleotide ribosomal RNA is filed under the name uncultured bacterium. Its description in RNAcentral is "partial 16S ribosomal RNA". It matches the Rfam family "Bacterial small subunit ribosomal RNA", at positions 28 to 523 of the family's 1533-position model. The record is from RNAcentral.